GAACUCUGGAGAAUCUCAUUUCGAUGAGUGCCGAAGGUGCAAGGCGUCAGCCGAAUCUCUCAGGCAAAAGGACAGAGGA
Molecule: non-coding RNA, 79 nt
Filed under: pig gut metagenome
Description: Glycine riboswitch
Rfam family: Glycine riboswitch aptamer
About the family: This family represents the bacterial glycine riboswitch. Glycine riboswitches usually consist of two metabolite-binding aptamers domains with similar structures in tandem. The aptamers cooperatively bind glycine to regulate the expression of downstream genes.
Source: RNAcentral